GAUGAAGAACGUAGCGAAAUGCGAUACGUAAUGUGAAUUGCAAAUUCAGUGAAUCAUCGAGUCUUUGAACGCACAUUGCGCCCCCUGGUAUUCCCGGGGGCAUGCCUGUCCGAGCGUCAUUGCUGCCCUCAAGCACGGCUUGUGUGUUGGGCCCCGUCCUCCGAUCCCGGGGGACGGGCCCGAAAGGCAGCGGCGGCACCGCGUCCGGUCCUCGAGCGUAUGGGGCUUUGUCACCCGCUCUGUAGGCCCGGCCGGCGCUUGCCGAUCAACCCAAAUUUUUAUCCAGGUUGACCUCGGAUCAGGUAGGGAUACCCUCUGAACUUAAGCAUAUCAAUAAGCGGAGGA
Molecule: unclassified non-coding RNA, 345 nt
Filed under: soil metagenome
Description: partial contains 5.8S ribosomal RNA, internal transcribed spacer 2, and large subunit ribosomal RNA
Rfam family: 5.8S ribosomal RNA (bases 1-119)
Source: RNAcentral